Molecule: long non-coding RNA, 373 nt
Organism: Sander lucioperca (pikeperch)
Lineage: Eukaryota; Metazoa; Chordata; Actinopteri; Perciformes; Percidae
Exons: 3
Source: RefSeq, a predicted model, not a curated record
CAAAAUAUCACGUGAUUUCAUCAUUGUUUCCCGCUGUUAUGUCCUGAAAGCUGUUUUCGAGUACGGUGCGCAGAUUUGCAUAUGAGUUGGCCAGAAGAUAUGGGUGCAAAUAUCCGAGUGGAUGGGAUGCCACCAAGAUGCCGGGAAAGGACUGGCUCACCUCCUUCCUUGAAAGGAACAACACCUUAUCUAUUCGUAGACCCCAAGCCACCAGCAUGUCCCGUUCCACUAGCUUCAACAGAACAAAUGUGUCCUCUUUUUUUAACAACCUAAAUUCAGUUCUUGCCCGCUACCUUUUUGAAGCAAAGGACAUUUGGAACGUGGAUGAAACAGGUACCACAACGGUCCAGGUGCCAGGUAAAAUUAUCGCCAC